RNAcentral lists this unclassified non-coding RNA (390 nucleotides) under soil metagenome. RNAcentral's name for it is "partial contains 5.8S ribosomal RNA, internal transcribed spacer 2, and large subunit ribosomal RNA". The stretch from base 1 to 121 matches the Rfam family "5.8S ribosomal RNA", at positions 35 to 154 of the family's 154-position model. The record is from RNAcentral.
GAUGAAGAAGUAGCGAAAUGCGAUACUUGGUGUGAAUUGCAGAAUCCCGUGAACCAUCGAGUCUUUGAACGCAAGUUGCGCCCGAAGCCAUUAGGCCGAGGGCACGCCUGCCUGGGCGUCACACGUCGUUGCCCCCCCAUCUACUCCUUCGGGAUUGCGGGGGGCGGAUGAUGGCCUCCCGUGCGCCACGCCGCGCGGUUGGCAUAAAUGCCAAGUCCUCGGCGACGCACGCCACGACAAUCGGUGGUUGCGAAACCUCGGUUGCCCGUCGUGUGCGGUCGUCGCGCAUCGAGGGCUCGAAAAAAUUGCCGGGUUCCGGCUCGGCUUUCAACGCGACCCCAGGUCAGGCGGGGUUACCCGCUGAAUUUAAGCAUAUCAAUAAGCGGAGGA